GGCUGACAUGCGUAAUUAAUCAUCACGCUGGUUUAGAUGAGAACUGCUUCCCUUGUGGGGAGGGGGGUGACAAAGGAAAGGGGAGGAGGACAAACAGCCAGGAACAAGCAUUCAUUUAUUCAUUUAUUCAUUUAUUCAUUGGGGGAUGAAGGAAAAGGAGAGCAGUGAUUCUGUUCGUUAUGCUCACGGAGGUGCCUCAUGCCUGUAGCAGUGUGGUACACAGUAGGUGUUUAAUCAGUGCCUGGUACACAUUAGGCGUUUAAUCAGUGCAUGACUUCAGCUUAAAGCGACCUUGAUGCACAAUCCCUUCACCACCCAUUCCUCACCCCCGCCCUGCUGUGUGAUUUUCCCCACAGGCGAGGGAGAAGCUGCCAUCCCCCUGCAGGGAGUGUUUGGCGGAGAGUCAGCCACCCCCAGCACUCCUUCGGCCGUCAAAGUCAUCAGGAAAGAGCUUAUUCCCUGCUAUCCCUGUGGCCUCCAAGAUAAAACCCGGCCUCAGUUUCUGUGCAGAUAAGAACACUCUCCAUGUGCCGGAAGUCAGCUUCACCUUCCCCAGAGCCAUGUGGCAAAGCAGUACAAGCCCAAGCAGGGUGCCCCUCCUGCCCUGGGACAUCAGAGGUCAGUGUCUGUCUCCUCCCACCCCUGUGUGAUCCUGUAGCUCCCAUGCUGCUGGCUUCUGGGAUUCUCAAGCUCUUCUCAAUUCUCUCCAUGGGGAGGAGUUAGGGGAGGGAUAACAAUACACGUGCACAUCAGCUCCCCCACCACCAGGGCCUCCAUCUGUCAGGGGAGGGAUAACAGUACACAUGCACGUCAGCUCCCCACCACCAG
RNAcentral lists this long non-coding RNA (828 nucleotides) under Macaca mulatta (Rhesus monkey). RNAcentral's name for it is "lncRNA (ENSMMUG00000064663.1)". The record is from RNAcentral. Lineage: Eukaryota; Metazoa; Chordata; Mammalia; Primates; Cercopithecidae.